RNAcentral lists this ribosomal RNA (465 nucleotides) under uncultured bacterium. Its description in RNAcentral is "bacterial SSU rRNA". It matches the Rfam family "Bacterial small subunit ribosomal RNA", at positions 329 to 792 of the family's 1533-position model. The record is from RNAcentral.
UGCCAGACUCCUACGGGAGGCAGCAGUGAGGAAUAUUGGUCAAUGGGCGUAAGCCUGAACCAGCCAAGUCGCGUGAGGGACGACGGCCCUACGGGUUGUAAACCUCUUUUGCCGGGGGACAAACGGCGGCACGCGUGCCGUCCUGAGGGUACCCGGAGAAAAAGCAUCGGCUAACUCCGUGCCAGCAGCCGCGGUAAUACGGAGGAUGCGAGCGUUAUCCGGAUUUAUUGGGUUUAAAGGGUGCGCAGGCGGAAUGUCAAGUCAGCGGUAAAAUUUCGGGGCUCAACCCCGUCGUGCCGUUGAAACUGGCGUUCUUGAGUGAGCGAGAAGUAUGCGGAAUGCGUGGUGUAGCGGUGAAAUGCAUAGAUAUCACGCAGAACUCCGAUUGCGAAGGCAGCAUACCGGCGCUCAACUGACGCUCAUGCACGAAAGCGUGGGUAUCGAACAGGAUUAGAUACCCGAGUA